CGUGCUCGACCUGCUGCGGGCAGAUGAAGUGGAUAUGGCUGUCGAAGCCGCCGGCGGUGAUGAUCUUGCCCUCGCCGGCAAUGAUCUCGGUCGAGGCGCCGAUGACGAUGUCGACGCCCGGCUGGAUCGCCGGAUUGCCCGCCUUGCCGAUGCCGGCGAUGCGCCCGUCGCGCAGGCCGAUAUCGGCCUUCACGAUGCCCCAGUGGUCGAGGAUCAGCGCAUUGGUGAUGACCGUGUCCACCGCGCCCGCGGCGCGCGUGACCUGCGACUGGCCCAUGCCGUCGCGAAUA
Molecule: small RNA, 290 nt
Filed under: Ancylobacter tetraedralis
Lineage: Bacteria; Pseudomonadati; Pseudomonadota; Alphaproteobacteria; Hyphomicrobiales; Xanthobacteraceae
Description: Angulomicrobium tetraedale 5' ureB small RNA
Rfam family: 5' ureB small RNA
Source: Rfam by way of RNAcentral